UACGUAGGGGGCUAGCGUUGUCCGGAAUCAUUGGGCGUAAAGUGCGUGUAGGCGGUCCGGUAAGUCCGCUGUGAAAGUCGGGGGCUCAACCCUCGAAUGCCGGUGGAUACUGUCGGGCUAGAGUGCGGAAGAGGCGAGUGGAAUUCCUGGUGUAGCGGUGAAAUGCGUAGAUAUCAAGCGGAACACCAGUGGCGAAGGCGAGUCCCUGGACAACUCCUGACACUGAGGCACGAAAGCUAGGGGAGCAAACAGG
This 253-nucleotide ribosomal RNA is filed under the name uncultured bacterium. RNAcentral describes it as "partial 16S ribosomal RNA". It matches the Rfam family "Bacterial small subunit ribosomal RNA", at positions 524 to 776 of the family's 1533-position model. The record is from RNAcentral.